This 87-nucleotide transfer RNA is filed under the name Pseudoalteromonas aurantia. RNAcentral describes it as "tRNA-Leu". It matches the Rfam family "tRNA". From Rfam's summary of the family: Transfer RNA (tRNA) molecules are approximately 80 nucleotides in length. Their secondary structure includes four short double-helical elements and three loops (D, anti-codon, and T loops). RNAcentral also lists the same sequence under 29 other names. The record is from RNAcentral. Lineage: Bacteria; Pseudomonadati; Pseudomonadota; Gammaproteobacteria; Alteromonadales; Pseudoalteromonadaceae.
GCCCGGGUGGUGGAAUUGGUAGACACAAGGGAUUUAAAAUCCCUCGUUCGUAAGGACGUGCCGGUUCAAGUCCGGCCCCGGGCACCA